This is a long non-coding RNA of Triticum dicoccoides, 2122 nucleotides long. RefSeq lists it as uncharacterized. The transcript has 5 exons. The record is from RefSeq and is a predicted model, not a curated record. NCBI's taxonomy places the organism in Eukaryota, Viridiplantae, Streptophyta, Magnoliopsida, Poales, Poaceae.
GUCAUCCUUAUCCCUAACCUCCUGACCCCAACCAUCCCACACAUCACGCCAUGGAUUGCGCCGCCGCCCUGCUCAACAGCCAACGCCGUCGCCGCCUGCCCCAUCCGUCGUCGCUCCCGCCGCAUCAACCCUCUGCCGCAUCCCACUGCCAUCAUGACCCAUCUCUCUCCUUGGUCUUCUGUCUUUGACCAAUACUGGGUGGCGGCUGUGCUUCCGGUCGCGUGGUGGCGAUGUGGCUGGUCGAGGGAACAUAGUGUUCCUGUUGUGCCCCUUCACACAUUGGACCAUCGUGGCGCAGAAGUACAUGGAGAAGAUCGCGCUCCUCUUAGCAAAUUCGGGUGUUUUGAGUUGGCUACCCAGCAAGGGGCAUGGUCACAUGGAUGAUUAGCAUCUUUUGGCAAAAGCAUGUUAAUUCACUGAAGAAAUACUACUGCACCUAUGACUAUGAGCGGAGAUGUCCACUCACGAUUUUUGAGGACCACUUGAGGAUGUGAUCAGUAGUGCAGCUUCAAAGCUGCUUGAUAUGACAUAGUGUUUGAUUUUUACAAAUCUGAAAGUCAAGCCUAAGCAAUGUUACGGUUCAGAUCUAAACCUUAAACUUACUGAUUAUUUGUUGUGCGUUACUAAUCUGACCGGCCAUCGAUCUCCACCUUAACCUUAUUUAUCUUUCUUAUUAGCUCCACGUCUCUAGCGUCUAUAGAGUCCUAACCCAAGAAUAUCUCCUGCCGCCUUCAGUCCAAACCCUCGGCAAGAGUCUCCCCUGCAUCCUCCUCUUCUCCUUGCCGCCUAUGUCUCCUUCUUUUGCUCCUCGGGUCGCUAUUGUGACGCGUCCGUCGUCUUUUUCAUGAGGAGCUAGAUGAUUUCAGUCUGAGAUUACAUCCUCCUAUAGAGAAUCCUACCCUUUCCAUGCUGUCACUGUAGCCAGGUCUAGCAAAGGGGAUAAAUUUAUGUUGCAAAUGAGAUGCUAAAGUUUAUAUGCAGAGGUGUGCAACUCUGUAUCCAUCAACAUCCAUACUUCAGGGUGGAGUAGAGGGAGGGAGCAUUUACCAGAGAUGUGUUUUUAGCAGCAUUAUUUUUAGAUAAAAUAAUUAUACCUGCUUUUAUCUGUAAGCUGCACACAGGGCAGAGGAUGCAAUUUGGUUUAGAAGAAGAAGAAAACACAUUGACACUAUGGCUUAUAAUUCUUAUGAUAGUAUCAGAAAAUAUAUGCAAUAUGGUUUAGGUAACAAAAACACAGCAUUAUGUCUUCGUUGGAAAAUUUGCCACUCCGGAGACAUAGACAGACUUAUCACUUUCAUCUUAUUAAUGGUAUUUUCUUAAAGUAAGAAGAUAAAGAAGAGAUGGGUUUAUAUGAAGCGGGCCUGCUGCAACAGUCAAAAGAUGAUGUCUCGGUAUUUCACAUUUAAAGCAAGGACAAGUGCUCAUAAAUGAUUAUAUGUAUCUACUUUAUUAAACUAGCAUAUGAACUAAUCCCCCGAAUCCAUGUACUCUAUAUUCUUACUUAUUGCAUGACGUUCUUUUGCUUCUUGAUAAAUAUGUCCAUUUUCAUUAUUAUUUCAUAAUAUCUGCUAUGUACAGUGGCAUCAUUGAGCAUUCCUUUACUUUUCACAUUUCAGUUCAAUGUUCUGCACAGUGCACAGUAUAACGCUACAUUGGAUGGCGCUAUUAAAUACUUCGAGGUCAUGUGACAGAGCACGAAAAAAGAACUAUCGAGAUCUAACCAUGAUGAAGGCAGGCCCCUCCGAUUGCUAUUAGGAAUGUGGAAGGUUGACCAGCCGUCUCUUCCUCUCCAUCGUCUCUCCAUGGUGUGCAUGUUAAGAACUUAUGCAGCAGCGGACGCCAAUUUCAUGGAGCCGUCAGCAUCAACUUUUGUGGAGUCCUCUUCUAGGAUCUGAUACGAGUCCCUCCGACAUCAGAUAAGGUUUGGGUAUGCAUGAGAACGAAUCGGAUAAUCAAUUGCAAACUGAUUGUAUCGUAUGUUGUGUACUAUCGACGCAUUUGCUUGGGUGGAAAAGUCUCGCUUCUGAUUACAGCACUUUCAGAAGACAGUAGAAGUCGUUUAGUUCAGCCCUUCUGAUUUGUGUUACGGUGCUAUCGGAUAAAGCGCUUCACUUCGCUUCCG